Molecule: long non-coding RNA, 1949 nt
Organism: Haplochromis burtoni (Burton's mouthbrooder)
Lineage: Eukaryota; Metazoa; Chordata; Actinopteri; Cichliformes; Cichlidae
Exons: 3
Source: RefSeq, a predicted model, not a curated record
GGCAAAGAGGUGGGGAAAAGAAGUUGUUUCCGGUAGAGCUCGGCUUUGACAGCGUUGCGUUCACGCGCUACUUCUUUUGACGGAUUCUUUCGUUUAAGAACAUUUUAUUUUGUCUCGGUCGUUAAAGAGACGGUAGAAAUAACGCAGAGGUGGUAUUCAGACGUUAUUAGAAAGUUUAAGGACGAUAGCCAGACGACUUUGAAGGAGGAGAAGAAGGACCGUGUUUAGUUUUAGAGAGAAGCUUCAUGAACAGGUGUCGAGCAGACAUCGCCCUCUCCCUCCGCCUUUUCUCGAACGUCGAAAUAGGACACUUGACACUUUGGUUGGGCCAACCCAUGCCGGGUUUCAAGAAUUGGAUAUGGAUAUUGUUGCGCUGCACACGAAUGGCCUCAAUGCUGAACAACGUUCAGUGACAGCGGGCUGCUGACCGAGUUGGCACAAAGUGGAGGACAUUGGCUGAUAUGUGAUGUGAAGUCACGAUCAAGAAAAAAGGACAACCAGUAGAUUCCUGCAGACUGAUGUUACAUCCAUUACGUGCAGUUUUUGGGUCCUGAUCAGAUCGGAGUGGUACAAAAGUUGGAGUGAAAAGUUCCAGACCGUCUUGGAGCGCUUGCCCAGAACUAAUGACGAGUGAUGAUGCAGUCAUAGACUCCUCCCUUUCUGCGAGUAUUGUGAAAUAUGAAGAUACAUUCAGGGGAUUCCUGCUGAAUUUGUGUGUUAAUGUUCGUGUUGGUGUUUCAUCUCUGAUACAGAGCAGGUUGUUUUCAUGGAUCCUGUUAAAAGGGAAGAUUUUCUCCUGAAUGACAACAUUUUGAUCUCUCAAAAAUGUAUUUCACAUAAUAUUCCUGUAAAUAAUAAUCACCCGAGUAUUUCUAAGCACAAUCACUGUGCCAUCAUUUGAAAACACUGCCACUGUUUUAACAUAAACAUCUCAUUUCCUGUUGGAUUUAUUUAAACACUGACUGAAAUCAUACAUUGAGAUUUUUGACAUUGAUAGACCUCAAUUACCCUAAUUCACACAUUAAUCAAAAAGACAUUAGAUGAAAAAUUAAAUAUGAUAAAUAAACAAAAAAUUCAAAUGUGGGUUUCUGACACUGUUGCAGUACAGAGAGGGACAGUCCUGAGAGUGAGGAGGAAGACGAGCUGUGAGGGAGAGGAAGAGGGACAACCAGCGGUGUUGAACAGACCUGUGUGUCUGCGAGUGUCGUGUCAUUACAAUUCAUACAGUCAAUGUAACUGACAGUAAUGAACCAUAAUGACAGAAUAAAGUAAUAAGUUAACACUGAUCAGUUAUUGUCCUCAGUUACACCCUCAUGUUUGCUCUGCAUUCAUCUCUUAUCAGACAUACAAAGAUGAUCCACCAGUGCUGCCCAGUUUGAGGACAUUUCCAGUCACAUUAAUGGAGGACAGGAGACGCAGCUUCCAUCAAAACUGAGUUUCUACCAGAGCCAAAUGUCAUCGACUCCUCACUGAAGUCGUCCACCAGUCCAACCACUGGAAUCCAGCUGCUGCUCUCUAACUGGUCCACACAGCAGCUCAGACCUGACACAUUCACUGUAAACACACUGGUUUAUAUUCUGUUUGUUCUCCUCAUGAAGGAAACUUCACACAACCUCUGAGUUCAAAUCACUGAAAGUUCAAAUGGAAAGUUAUUAUUGUUUUCUUUUAUAAAGAAGCAGAAGCAGAAGCAGAAUGGUACCAUAAAGAUUUUAUUUAUUUUUCAUACUUGAGGGAACAAUUCUUCACCAGGCCUUUCAGAAUAAAAGCAUGACCAAGACAUCAUUUAUACAUAAACAAUAAUAAAUGGUAUGUAACUAAAAUAUAGAUGUAAUCCAUGUUUUAUGUCUUCAGUAACUUUGCUGUUAUUUAUGUUAUUUCUAAGUGUGCUGUCGUCUCCACAGCAGUGAUCUGGUUUCUCUGCAGGUUCAAUAAACUUUGGUCUCACUUGA